CUGCUCUCUCUCUCUCUUCUCCCGGCGGCGGGGUGGAUCGGCGGACCGUUCGCGCGCUCUCUUGGUAUUCGCAGGAAUUGGUGCCUGUGGCGACUGUGGUGGGAAACGGGGGGUGCGGGAGCAGCCGUCCCUCCUACCGCAGCGAGAGGCGCCUUGCUUUUGCUUCGCGCCUGGAUGGCUUCCUCGUCCUUUCCCUGAGAGGACCGGCGGGGACUUCUUGAAGGAAGGAGUAGUGGGGAAGGAGUAGAAGGAACGAAGGAACGAAGGAAGGAAGGAAGGCUUUCCCAGAAAUGGAGAUUAAAAGCACCAGCUCGAACCUGGAAGACCCAGCUCUCCAGAAAUCUCCAGAGCGCUGCCCUUUGAACCACCUUUUCUUUUGCACGUGUCCCAUCUGACCGCCUCUCCGCGCGAGUUCCCUCGCGUGUUGGUCACCGAGGGCGAUCCCCGGCCCCUGUAGCCCUCCUCGAGCCUUCUAUCAGCCCCCUCCGGUGAGUCCUUUCUGAACCGUCCCCACAAACCGGUAUUCCAUUCCGCUGUUUUUAGGACAUUUUUUUUUAAACUUCUGAGAGGCUGUUUUAUUUUAUAAGGAGCCGUUGAACAGAGGCUGGAGACUCCCUCCUCCCCCCGCUCUCCGUUACUCCUGCCUGAGCAGCCUUCUCCUCUUUCCCUCCUGCUUCUCGCCGUACAAAGAAGUCUUUAAAAAGAGAUCCCUGCUUGCCCGCUAGCUUGCUGGGGUUGUGCCAGUCCUUCUCCAGCGAGCGCUGGACCUUUUCUCUGGACAGAGCAAAGAAUCUGAGCUACACAGAAGGAGAGGGCACACGGCCCGCCUGGUUCCCAAGGGUUUUUGUAAUGAGGCUUUGGCAUAGGUCCUACAAGCAGAGAACAAAAGAUGGAAAAUGUGAGGGAUACCAUUGUCAGCACUAGAUUUCUGGAGAUUCUUUUAAAGGACUGCUUCAACUUCAUUUCAAGGAAUGAGAAUGCCUUGUUUCUCUGUUCAGCCUGGACGUAAAUAGUGAAUUAUUAUUUGAUUUAUUUUCUGGCCACAAUUAUUUCAGAAAUAGUCCUAGUGAGUUGAUUAUUGUUUAAUCUAUGUUUUGUUACUUGGAAGUGUUUUACUCUGUAACUCCUAAGGAAAUGGAACAUAUCCUAAAUUCUAUUAACCUGAUCACUGUUGAUUAGAUCCAUCCCACUGGUCCAUGUAGUGAAGUCAGUGUGUGGAGAGGUGGUGCCAUCUGUCACGAUGGUGAUGGUAGUAUAGCCCCUUUCUAAAGAAGCCAUCACUAAAUUCAACUCCUCUGCACCAUUUUCAUCCAUUCUCUGGCCUUCCUUUUCUCUUGAGAAAAGAGCGCUGGAUUAAGCAGAUUAUACCCCUAAUAGGGACAAUCUUUUCAGUCAGGUUUCAGGAUAAGACAUAAUAUGGAAAUAGGCCUGCAUAUCACUGCACUUUUUGAUCUCUUGAGGAACUGGGAUAAGAGUAAUGCAACCAACCUAGCUCUUCUUGAGCUCUCAUCCGCUUUCAUUAUGAUUAAUCUUGAUACCCUUCUUAGGAAUAGGAUGUAUGGUGUUAUAUUGGUUUUCCUUUCUCUUGGGUUGGUUUUGGCUAGGGUAUUUAUGAGGGUUAGGUUAAGCUUACAGAUUCUUUCUUGUAGGAUGUCUCAGAGCAUGACAAUCUCACUUCUUCUGUUUAAUGUGUGUGAACCCACUGAGUGAAAUCAUCCACUGACAUAGGGUCCAAUAUCAUCAGUAUGUUGAUAAUAAAUUUACAUCUCUGAAACAAACAAACAGUGCUGUCAAGGUCAUGUUCCACAGCUGGAGGCUGUGAAGAUCCAGAGAGGAAAGAACAUGCUUACAUUUAACUCUGAGAAGGCAAGAGUGGCUGUGCUUUUUUCAAUUUUCCCAGGAUCAGUAAUGUGUCAUAGUUAGGUGUGGAUAAGUUUGCAUUAUCCUAUAUGGAACUGAUUCAUAGUUUAGAGGUCCUCCUGGAUUCUCAGUUCCUGUUGAAGAAGAAGUGGCAGCUCUGACUAGGGAAUCUUCGCAAGAUUCAUCUGAUGCAUUGAUUCUGCCUUUUCCUGGACAGGCAGUCUCUUCUCACAUGCCUUUGUCACCUCAUGUUUGGACUAUUACAAUAGUUGAAACAUGAGUUAAUUAGUCCAAAUUUACUAAGAGCAAUUGAGGUGAUUAUGGCAUAGUUUAUCCAGUUACCUGGAAAGAGUUUUGAUGGCUGUGUUCCUGUUAUAAUAAUAAUAGUAAUAAUAAUAAUAGUAAUAAUAAUAAUAGUAAUAAUAAUAAUAGUAGUAGUAGUAAUA
RNA transcript from Crotalus tigris (Tiger rattlesnake), 2306 nucleotides. It is a transcript of the gene named fucosyltransferase 9, with no coding region annotated. The transcript has 3 exons. NCBI's taxonomy places the organism in Eukaryota, Metazoa, Chordata, Lepidosauria, Squamata, Viperidae. The record is from RefSeq and is a predicted model, not a curated record.